This 233-nucleotide ribosomal RNA is filed under the name uncultured bacterium. RNAcentral describes it as "partial 16S ribosomal RNA". It matches the Rfam family "Bacterial small subunit ribosomal RNA", at positions 15 to 238 of the family's 1533-position model. The record is from RNAcentral.
GAUCCUGGCUCAGGAUGAACGCUGGCGGCAUGCCUAAUACAUGCAAGUCGAACGAGAGGAAGGAAAGCUUGCUUUUCUGAAUCUAGUGGCUAACGGGUGAGUAACACGUAGGUAAUCUGCCCAUGUGCCCGGGAUAACUUCUGGAAACGGAUGCUAAAACCGGAUAGGUAGCAGACAAGCAUUUGACUGCUAUUAAAGUGGCCUUGGCCAUGAACAUGGAUGGACCUGCGGUG